GAUGAACGCUGGCGGCGUGCCUAAUACAUGCAAGUCGAGCGAACGGACGAGAAGCUUGCUUCUCUGAUGUUAGCGGCGGACGGGUGAGUAACACGUGGAUAACCUACCUAUAAGACUGGGAUAACUUCGGGAAACCGUAGCUAAUACCGGAUAAUAUUUUGAACCGCAUGGUUCAAAAGUGAAAGACGGUCUUUCUGUCACUUAUAGAUGGAUCCGCGCUGCAUUAGCUAGUUGGUAAGGUAACGGCUUACCAAGGCAACGAUGCAUAGCCGACCUGAGAGGGUGAUCGGCCACACGGGAACUGGGACACGGUCCAGACUCCUACGGGAGGCAGCAGUAGGGAAUGUUCCGCAAUAGGCGAAAGCCUGACGGAGCAACGCCGCGUGAGUGAUGACGGUCUUCGGAUCGUAAAACUCUGUUAUUAGGGAAGAACAUAUGUGUAAGUAACUGUGCACAUCUUGACGGUACCUAAUCAGAAAGCCACGGCUAACUACGUG
This 497-nucleotide ribosomal RNA is filed under the name uncultured bacterium. Its description in RNAcentral is "partial 16S ribosomal RNA". It matches the Rfam family "Bacterial small subunit ribosomal RNA", at positions 28 to 507 of the family's 1533-position model. The record is from RNAcentral.